This 228-nucleotide ribosomal RNA is filed under the name Prasinoderma coloniale. Its description in RNAcentral is "partial Eukaryotic small subunit ribosomal RNA". It matches the Rfam family "Eukaryotic small subunit ribosomal RNA", at positions 149 to 376 of the family's 1831-position model. The record is from RNAcentral. Lineage: Eukaryota; Viridiplantae; Prasinodermophyta; Prasinodermophyceae; Prasinodermales; Prasinodermaceae.
GUAGUAAUUCUAGAGCUAAUACAUGCGUAAAGUCCCGACUUUUUGGAAGGGAUGUAUUUAUUAGAUUAAAAACCAAUGCAGGCAACUGCUCCUUUGGUGAUUCAUAGUAACUUUAACGGAUCGCACGGCUUCACGCUGGCGACAGUUCAUUCAAAUUUCUGCCCUAUCAGCUUUCGACGGUACUGUAGUGGACUACCGUGGCAUUAACGGGUGACGGAGAAUUAGGGU